This is a non-coding RNA of Bacillus sp. 2_A_57_CT2, 71 nucleotides long. NCBI's taxonomy places the organism in Bacteria, Bacillati, Bacillota, Bacilli, Caryophanales, Bacillaceae. The record is from Rfam.
GGUAUUAUUAUUAAAACCACGAUAAGCCCCGGAACUUAUUGUGUCGAAUAGAUAAACCAAAAAAAUAGAUU